GAGUAAGACAAGAGGAGCAAGCCAGUAAGCAGCACCCAGUAUGGUCCCCUGCGUGGCCCUUGCAUCAGCUCCAGCUGCCAUGUUCCUGCCCUGCUUGAGUUCUUGCCUGUGGUUCGUGAACUUUUAUAUGUAACUGAGGCAAAGAACCAAGAAACCUUAGGAACUCUGGAAGACCAUGAGAGGACACGUCUGUCUCCACACCUUCCCAAGUCCAGAAUCUCUGUGGAAAGUGAAGGUAAUAGAAGCAGUCCUUCUGUACUGACAGACAGACAUCCUCAGCAUGAGGAAAAGCUACGAGACCACAGGCAAAUACGUCAAGGUUUGCUCUCUGGAGAUUUUCAGCGCAUCCUGUCCCAGAUUCUCAUUUGGUUAUUUGUCAACGACUGGUUUUCAUGUUGCCCAUGUGUGCACAAAUGCACAUGAAGGCAUGAAACACGUGAAGGUUGUGCAAGCUACUCUAGUUGUGUGCAGUGGUGGCUGUUCUCGGUUUGACUACAUCUGGAACUAAAACCCAAGCAGCUGGGGACACCUGUGCAUGGAUUUCCUUAAUUAAAGCACGUGAAGUGGGAAGAGCCAUCUUUAAUCUGCGUCACACCUGCUGGAGGCAGGCUACAUAAAUAAAGGACAUGGAAGAAUGAA
This is a long non-coding RNA of Mus musculus (house mouse), 639 nucleotides long. RefSeq annotates it as predicted gene 13522. The record is from RefSeq and is marked validated. NCBI's taxonomy places the organism in Eukaryota, Metazoa, Chordata, Mammalia, Rodentia, Muridae. The transcript is spliced from 4 exons.